UAAGACGAACCGUGCUAACGUUGUUCGGAAUCACUGGGCUUAAAGGGCGCGUAGGCGGUGUGUUAAGUCGGCGGUGAAAUACUUCAGCUUAACUGAAGAAUUGCCGCUGAAACUGGCAUGCUAGAGGGAGGUAGAGGUGCGUGGAACUUCCGGUGGAGCGGUGAAAUGCGUUGAUAUCGGAAGGAACACCUGUGGCGAAAGCGUCGCACUGGACCUCUUCUGACGCUGAGGCGCGAAAGCUAGGGUAGCGAACGGGAUUAGAUACCCCGGUAGUCCUAGCCCUAAACGAUGGGUACUAGAGAGUAGAUGCUCCGAUGUGUUUACUCUCGAAGCAAAAGUGUUAAGUACCCCGCCUGGGGAGUAUGGUCGCAAGGCUG
RNAcentral lists this ribosomal RNA (377 nucleotides) under uncultured bacterium. RNAcentral describes it as "bacterial SSU rRNA". It matches the Rfam family "Bacterial small subunit ribosomal RNA", at positions 521 to 896 of the family's 1533-position model. The record is from RNAcentral.